CGCCUCCUGGUGCGUACUACAGGCUGUGUUCUUACACUGCCUGUAUAAAAACAGGAGGCAGAGUAAAGUACCCCAUGUACACCUCAGCCCAGGCCUUGCAUCUGGUCUGCACUGUGAAUAGCGGAACAUGG
Cynocephalus volans (Philippine flying lemur) is the source of this 131-nucleotide small nucleolar RNA. RefSeq annotates it as small nucleolar RNA SNORA51. The record is from RefSeq and is a predicted model, not a curated record. NCBI's taxonomy places the organism in Eukaryota, Metazoa, Chordata, Mammalia, Dermoptera, Cynocephalidae. The transcript has a single exon.